RNAcentral lists this long non-coding RNA (768 nucleotides) under Malus domestica (apple). RNAcentral's name for it is "long non-coding RNA (MDOM_LNC006475)". The record is from RNAcentral. Lineage: Eukaryota; Viridiplantae; Streptophyta; Magnoliopsida; Rosales; Rosaceae.
UUAUUGUGCUCUUGGACGGCGAAGCGAGCGAGGUCUUCAACUUCGGCGCUGUUCUGGACGCCGCGGGAUUCUUGGAUUCCGCCGACUGUGUCCAUUUUCCGGUGUUGGGAACUGUGGCCGCAGCCAAUUCGGGUUGAUUUUUGUGCGGUAGUGGAAGGGAAAGCGAGGAGGAGGAGGAGGAGGAAGAAGGGAGCAAUUAAUAGAGAGAGGUAAGAUUCCGAUUUCAUCUGGCCUUUUUGGGUUUGGGGAUUUUUUCGACGGUUUCUCUGCAAAUUCGGAUAUUUUUCUUUCGGUCAUCAGGUUUUUAUGAUACGUGUCAAACACGUGUCGAUUCUGCACCAUCUUUGCUUACUAUGUAAGCUUUCGAAAUGGGAUUGAGAUCCUCUUCUUGGCUAAGGAUGAUGAUUUUCCUGACCUAACUCAUAUGAUUGUUUAAAUUUUAUCAACGAUUACAAACAUAAAGUUUUUCUAAAAGUUAUAAUAACUGUAACAGUUGAAUAAAAUUUGAACGAUCCGAUGAGCUUGAUCAAGAGGACCAUCACCCUUACCUUAGUAGUGGAUCCUAAUCUCUCUCUAUAUACUUUUGUGAGAGGACGGAGGAUCCUCUUUUUUUUUUUCUUUUUUUUUUUGACAAAGGAGAACGAUAUUAAUCCAACCAAACACAACUACAACAUAACAACAAAGGCCCACGGAGGAUCCUCUUUUUUGUGAGGAUCCUAAAGAUCAAUUCAUAUUACAUAUUCAUUAUAUCAUGCGAUUAGCUUUCGU